This 137-nucleotide unclassified non-coding RNA is filed under the name uncultured fungus. Its description in RNAcentral is "sequence contains ITS1". Lineage: Eukaryota; Fungi. The record is from RNAcentral.
UUAUUUUGUUAAAAUAAGACACGUUCGUUACACUGUUGUUUGUAAAAUAGGCGCGAACGCCAUGGUGCACAGGUGUGUGUAUAGAAAAAGGCCGGAGCCAAUCAAUAAUGAUCCUUCCGCAGGUUCACCUACGGAAA